GAGAGCCGUAUACAUUGAGAGGUGUACGUACGGUUCGGGGGCGAGUGUUGGAAAACCUAUCAUAGUAAUAUGACAAGGCGUCGGGCACUUAGCCUAC
This 97-nucleotide non-coding RNA is filed under the name Anaerotignum lactatifermentans DSM 14214. Lineage: Bacteria; Bacillati; Bacillota; Clostridia; Lachnospirales; Anaerotignaceae. The record is from RNAcentral.